Molecule: non-coding RNA, 73 nt
Organism: Papilio xuthus (Asian swallowtail)
Lineage: Eukaryota; Metazoa; Arthropoda; Insecta; Lepidoptera; Papilionidae
Source: Rfam
GCCUCGUGAAAGACAUGGGUAAUGAGAUGUCCUGUACAUCACAAAUUCUCACUACCUUGUCUUUCAUGAGGAU